GUCUUAUCGAUAUUAAUUUUAAGUCAAUCUGCCCAAUGAUUUUAAAUUAAAUGGCUGCAGUAUAAUUAACUGUACAAAGGUAGCAUAAUCAAUUGUUUUUUAAUUAAAAACUAGAAUGAAAGAAUUAAUGAGAUAUAUACUGUCUCAUAUAUAUAUAAUAAAUUUAAAUUUUUAGUAAAAAUGCUUAAAUUAUUUUAUGGGACGAUAAGACCCUAUAGAAUUUUAUAUUAAUAUUUAAUUAAUUAUUUAAUUAUAAUAUUAAUAUUUAAUUGGGAGGAUUAAUAAAUUAAAUAAACUUUAUUUUUAAAAUAAACUUUAAUUUUAGAAUAUAUAAUUUUGAUCUUAUAUUAUAAAUUAAAAAAAUAAAUUACCUUAGGGAUAACAGCGUAAUAUCUUUUUAAAGAUCAUAUUAAUAAAGAUGUUUGCGACCUCGAUGUUGAAUUAAGAUAAAUUUUAGGUGAAGAAAUCUAAAUAUUAAGUCUGUUCGACUUUUAAAAUCUUACAUGAUUUGAGUUCAAAUCGACGUGAGU
Molecule: ribosomal RNA, 530 nt
Filed under: Bombus muscorum
Lineage: Eukaryota; Metazoa; Arthropoda; Insecta; Hymenoptera; Apidae
Description: partial 16S ribosomal RNA
Rfam family: Bacterial large subunit ribosomal RNA (bases 378-530)
Source: RNAcentral